Molecule: ribosomal RNA, 438 nt
Filed under: uncultured Wolbachia sp.
Lineage: Bacteria; Pseudomonadati; Pseudomonadota; Alphaproteobacteria; Rickettsiales; Anaplasmataceae
Description: bacterial SSU rRNA
Rfam family: Bacterial small subunit ribosomal RNA
Source: RNAcentral
UCAUACCUAUUCGAAGGGAUAGGGUCGGUUCGGCCGGAUUUCACACAAGUGUUGCAUGGCUGUCGUCAGCUCGUGUCGUGAGAUGUUGGGUUAAGUCCCGCAACGAGCGCAACCCUCAUCCUUAGUUGCUAUCAGGUAAUGCUGAGUACUUUAAGGAAACUGCCAGUGAUAAGCUGGAGGAAGGUGGGGAUGAUGUCAAGUCAUCAUGGCCUUUAUGGAGUGGGCUACACACGUGCUACAAUGGUGUCUACAAUGGGUUGCAAGGUGCGCAAGCCUAAGCUAAUCCCUAAAAGACAUCUCAGUUCGGAUUGUACUCUGCAACUCGAGUACAUGAAGUUGGAAUCGCUAGUAAUCGUGGAUCAGCAUGCCACGGUGAAUACGUUCUCGGGUCUUGUACACACUGCCCGUCACGCCAUGGGAAUUGGUUUCACUCGAAGC